Molecule: long non-coding RNA, 1620 nt
Organism: Astatotilapia calliptera (eastern happy)
Lineage: Eukaryota; Metazoa; Chordata; Actinopteri; Cichliformes; Cichlidae
Source: Ensembl
CUCAUUUCUAUAUCUGUACUUUCAUAGUUUCAUGGUUCAGCCUCUCAGUUCGAGCUCCGCCCCUGUAACUUUCCAGCAGGCGUCUUCAUCAGAGGCUCCGUGCUGCAAACAGACAAAUUUCAGGCCAAACCGAACCCACUUUUUAAUUCACGCUUGUCCACAUCUGCUCCGCUCUGAGGACAAACUUUCUGUUACUGUGUUUUAGAAGAGGAAACGACAGCAGUCGUGUGGAUCUACCAGCCUCACGCUGAGAUGAGAUCAGCCUUUGUCUUCUCUGAACUUCCUCGCUCACUUUACUCAUCAGGACCUCAGAAAGGAUAAAUGUACAGCUCCUCGUUGUUAGCCACAUGACGUUGGACCCUGCACUGUUAUUUCGCCCUUUUCCAAAGAGAUCUGCUUCUUGGAAAGAAAAGCCACUGGACUUCUUUAAGUUUCAUCUGAGAAGCUUCUGCAGCUGUAAAACCAAACGGUGGAGAGUCCCUGGUAUUUAAACUCUACUGUUCUCCAUAAGAACGUCAGACAGUCGGUGUCAUAAGCUCCGCCCUCCAUCUAAAGAGGGUCGUUCACUCCGUCUUCUCUGUCCAAAAUGUGAAUAUUGGCAUCCUUGAAAGAGUGACCUUUGACUUUAGAUGCAGCACACACAUAUUAGUCAUGAUGAUGUCAUAAUAUAUCAGGCAUGAUGAAAGUUUUCUGGAUGUUAAUUGGUCAUUUUACACGAUGGGGGUUACAGGUUAUGAUGAUGAUGAUGAUGAGACGGCCUUUAUUUAUCCGUUUGUUCAAUUCCACAAGCUGAAAACAAAGGGUGACAUCACAGUGGCUACAUCCAGGUUCAGCAGAAGGUAAAGAAGGAUUAUUUUUAAUAGUGACUCAUGCAAAGCUGCUCUAGACUGAAACAAUAAAAAUAUGAAAUGAUCUAAAUGGGUCGAUCUCAAGUUCACUUAAGGAAGCACAGGAUCAUUUCAGGCAGUGUUUUUAGUUUUACUUCAGUCGAGUAAAAUAUAUUUGAAGACCUAGUUUCAGUUUACUGUGAUUGUGAGAGCUCACUGCUGUAUUUCACGUCCGACUGCGACCUGCAGUGAAACGCUGCAGAACAGAUUUUGGAGAGAGUUUCUCAUUUAGAAAACAAAAAGUCAAGGACAGAACGCUGGAUAGAAGACAGCUGCAGAUCACAAUGUUCUACAGAUAAGAAAAGCAGUGAUGGCUCGGUGAGUCUGGAUCCUGCUCAGCUGCAGCUCCUGAACGUGCUCGUCGUCAGAUUUCUAAAUCUUUCAUUGUUGUAGUUUUGGUUUAAACUGGAAACUGAAUUUCUGCUUUGCACCAUAAUCAGAAAUCUUUUACACUUUUUGAUGUUUUAAAUUCUUUUGAUAGCUGACUCUGACUUUUGAUGUUUUCUUUUUUGUCGUAUCCUAUUAUUUCAUAUUUUUUGUCUCAUUAUUUCUCCUUCUUAACUUUGAUUAUUAUAUUGAAUGACUGGUGCCCUUGUCUGAGUUAGACUGUGUUAUCGUCUGAUUAUUAUGAGGCUUUUGCUUAUGGAUGGUGUAUUGUACUUUUAAUCUGCACUGAAGAUUUAAUUACAUGUAUGCUCACAUUUUUCAUUUGCAAUAAAAUGACUGAAAAGGC